This 430-nucleotide ribosomal RNA is filed under the name Pseudomonadota bacterium. RNAcentral's name for it is "Proteobacteria bacterium partial 16S ribosomal RNA". It matches the Rfam family "Bacterial small subunit ribosomal RNA", at positions 355 to 776 of the family's 1533-position model. The record is from RNAcentral. Lineage: Bacteria; Pseudomonadati; Pseudomonadota.
UGGGGAAUAUUGGACAAUGGGGGGAACCCUGAUCCAGCCAUGCCGCGUGUGUGAAGAAGGCCUUUUGGUUGUAAAGCACUUUAAGCGAGGAGGAGGCUCUUCUAGUUAAUACCUAGGAUGAGUGGACGUUACUCGCAGAAUAAGCACCGGCUAACUCUGUGCCAGCAGCCGCGGUAAUACAGAGGGUGCGAGCGUUAAUCGGAUUUACUGGGCGUAAAGCGUGCGUAGGCGGCUAAUUGAGUCGGAUGUGAAAUCCCCGAGCUUAACUUGGGAAUUGCAUUCGAUACUGGUUAGCUAGAGUGUGGGAGAGGAUGGUAGAAUUCCAGGUGUAGCGGUGAAAUGCGUAGAGAUCUGGAGGAAUACCGAUGGCGAAGGCAGCCAUCUGGCCUAACACUGACGCUGAGGUACGAAAGCAUGGGGAGCAAACAGG